AUGGCGGCGGUGGCCGGAGCCGGGAGGGCGAGGGGGGCGAGCCUGGCGGCGGCCGUGCGGGCUGUCGCGGCGACGGCGCGACCGGCGUCGAACGCCGCCGCGGCGGCCGGGGUGAGCGUGGCGGCGGUGAUCCUCAAGGGGAAUGACACGCCAUUCGGGUCGGUCGGGUGGUGGGCGUACGCCGGCAUCUCCUGCUUCCUGGUGCUCUUCGCCGGGAUCAUGUCGGGGCUCACCCUCGGGCUCAUGUCGCUCGGCCUCGUCGAGCUCGAGAUCCUCCAGCGCAGCGGCACCGACUCCGAGAAGGCGCAGGCUGCUACUAUCCUUCCAGUUGUUCAAAAGCAGCACCAACUUCUUGUCACCCUGCUACUGUGUAAUGCUGUUGCCAUGGAGGCUCUUCCUAUAUUCCUUGACAGGAUUUUUCAUCCUGUUGUUGCUGUUGUCUUGUCAGUGACAUUUGUUCUUGCUUUCGGAGAGGUUAUACCACAAGCAAUCUGUACUAGGUAUGGGUUGGCGGUGGGUGCUAACUUUGUAUGGCUUGUACGUAUCCUCAUGAUCAUGUGCUAUCCUAUUGCAUACCCUAUUGGGAAGCUCCUAGACUGCGCUCUUGGGCAUAAUGAAUCUGCACUCUUUAGGCGAGCUCAACUGAAAGCUCUUGUUUCUAUACACAGCAAAGAGGCUGGUAAGGGUGGGGAGCUUACCCACGAUGAGACUACAAUCAUAAGUGGAGCUUUGGACUUGACUGAAAAGACUGCUCAAGAAGCUAUGACACCUAUCGAAUCAACUUUCUCACUAGACGUGGACUCCAAAUUGGAUUGGGAAGCAAUUGGUAAAAUUCUUGCCCGGGGCCACAGCCGUGUGCCUGUGUACUCAGGAAACCCUAGAAAUGUUAUUGGCCUCCUGUUGGUGAAAAGUCUUCUGACAGUUCGUGCUGAAACAGAGACACCAGUUAGUGCGGUUUCCAUUCGAAGGAUUCCGAGGGUUCCGGCGGACAUGCCUUUGUAUGACAUAUUGAACGAGUUUCAGAAAGGGAGUAGCCAUAUGGCUGCUGUUGUGAAGGCUAGACCAAAGAAUCCUCCAGCCGACACAACUGAACCAAACAUGGAAGCAGCUGGGGCAACACAGCUGACUGCACCCUUACUAUCCAAUGCUGAAGAAAGGGCGGAAAGUGUGGUUGUCGACAUUGAAGCACCACAUAGCAGGCAGACUAAUGGAAACAAACACCACUCCGUGCAGCAAAACGAUAAACCAUCGAAUGGAGUGGGUCGGUCAUCAGAGGACAUAGAGGAAGGCGAGGUCAUUGGUAUCAUCACACUUGAAGAUGUAUUUGAAGAACUCUUGCAGGAAGAGAUAGUGGAUGAAACCGACGAAUAUGUUGAUGUUCAUAAAAGGAUCCGGGUAGCUGCUGCUGCUGCCGCGUCAUCAGUUGCAAGGGCUCCAUCAGUUAGAAGAUUAACUGCUCAAAAGGCUUCCGGAACGCAGAGCCGGCAAGGGCAGGCUGGACAGCCUGCUGGAAUUUUGAAGAAGCCUGCUACUGAAGGUGAUUCAAACCCAUCAAAACAGGUGAACCUUGUCGAACCUCUGCUGGAAAAUAGGAGGUAA
Molecule: ribosomal RNA, 1599 nt
Filed under: Triticum aestivum (bread wheat)
Lineage: Eukaryota; Viridiplantae; Streptophyta; Magnoliopsida; Poales; Poaceae
Description: partial small subunit ribosomal RNA
Source: RNAcentral